UUUAGGGAGACCGGCAUGUGUUCACGUUCUCUCUUUCUCUUCCCUCGUUCUUUUCUUUCUCCAAGUCCCUUGUCUGCCAUAGGCUUACCCCUCCCUCCCGUGCCAAAAUAUUUUCUUUGUUAUGCUAAUAAUACCUUUUAAUUUAUAUAAUGCUUAUAACUUUUUAAAAGUGAUUUCAUAGUAAUGAACUCAUUUAAACAUCUCAGCAACCAGAGAAAGUUCUUUUCAGUACUGAAAUAAUCAGGAGAACCGUGGGAAGGAGACAGGACUUAAAACUUUUUGACAUGUCUUUCUUUGUUUAGCUGAAGGUCUUGAGUUUGUAGCUUGGGACUACUAUAAAUUUGUACAGACACGUAUAGCCCUAAUUUGUGUGGUACAGUUAUGUAGUGCAUAGUGCCAGUGAGGUCAUCAGAGCUCAUAUAUGAUUUUGGUCCCACGGAUUACAAGGGAGCUGAAAAAUUUCCAUUGCCUAGUGAAGCUGUAGUGUUCAUAAUUUCUUAGUGACUCAUGUUUUUGUGGUGAUGCUGGUGUAAACAAACUUACUGUGCAGACAGUCCCUGUAAAAGUGUAGCAUAUGCAGUUAUGUACAGUACAUAAUACUUGAUAACGUUAAAUUAUUGGUUGGUGUAUUUUCUACCCAUUUUAUCAUUGUUUUAGUGUGUACUUCUGUUGAUUAAAAAGAAAAAGUUAACUAUAGAACAGCCUGAGGCGGGUCUUUCAGGAAAUAUUCCAGAAGAAUGCACUGUCAUAAUAGCAGGUGACAGCUACAUGCGUGUUGUUGCCCCUGAAAACCUUUCAGUGGGAUGAGAUUGGAGGUAGAAGACAGUGAUGUGAAUGACCAGGACCCUGUGUAGGCCUAGGCUAGUGGGUGUUUGUGUCUUUGUUAUUUUUUUUUUUUUUU
Long non-coding RNA from Sapajus apella (tufted capuchin), 901 nucleotides. RefSeq lists it as uncharacterized. The transcript has 2 exons. The record is from RefSeq and is a predicted model, not a curated record. Lineage: Eukaryota; Metazoa; Chordata; Mammalia; Primates; Cebidae.